CUGUCGCUGGGGAGAAAUUCAGCUUGGGGGAAAGCGCCGCGAAGUAUAAUUUUAAAUAAAGUAAAACAUUAUAAAUAAUAAAAUAUUGAUUAUUCAUUUAUUUGAAUAGUAGUGUAGUUAUUCUUUAACUUAUAAUUUUAUUAUAAUUUGAUUAGGUAUUUAACUGCUUUUUUUAUGUAUAAUUAGUUUCGACUAACCCAUCUGAGUAACAUCUCAAAAGUCAUAGCA
Molecule: ribosomal RNA, 228 nt
Filed under: Hebeloma ingratum
Lineage: Eukaryota; Fungi; Basidiomycota; Agaricomycetes; Agaricales; Hymenogastraceae
Description: partial small subunit ribosomal RNA
Source: RNAcentral